GUUUUCGGAUGGAAUUAAAAUUGACUUAGCGGCGGACGGGUGAGUAACGCGUGGGUAACCUGCCUCAUACAGGGGGAUAACAGUUAGAAAUGACUGCUAAUACCGCAUAAGCGCACAGUGCCACAUGGCACAGUGUGAAAAACUCCGGUGGUAUGAGAUGGACCCGCGUCUGAUUAGGUAGUUGGUGAGGUAAUGGCUCACCAAGCCGACGAUCAGUAGCCGACCUGAGAGGGUGACCGGCCACAUUGGGACUGAGACACGGCCCAAACUCCUACGGGAGGCAGCAGUGGGGAAUAUUGGACAAUGGGGGAAACCCUGAUCCAGCGACGCCGCGUGAGUGAAGAAGUGUUUCGGCAUGUAAAGCUCUAUCAGCAGGGAAGAAAAUGACGGUACCUGACUAAGAAGCCCCGGCUAACUACGUGCCAGCAGCCGCGGUAAUACGUAGGGGGCAAGCGUUAUCCGGAUUUACUGGGUGUAAAGGGAGCGUAGACGGUUCUGCAAGUCUGGAGUGAAAGCCCGGGGCUCAACCCCGGGACUGCUUUGGAAACUGUGGAACUAGAGUGCAGGAGAGGUAAGUGGAAUUCCUAGUGUAGCGGUGAAAUGCGUAGAUAUUAGGAGGAACACCAGUGGCGAAGGCGGCUUACUGGACUGUAACUGACGUUGAGGCUCGAAAGCGUGGGGGAGCAAACGGGAUUAGAUACCCUGGGUAGUCCACGCCCGUA
Molecule: ribosomal RNA, 722 nt
Filed under: Lacrimispora xylanolytica
Lineage: Bacteria; Bacillati; Bacillota; Clostridia; Lachnospirales; Lachnospiraceae
Description: bacterial SSU rRNA
Rfam family: Bacterial small subunit ribosomal RNA
Source: RNAcentral